Asparagus officinalis (garden asparagus) is the source of this 817-nucleotide long non-coding RNA. RefSeq lists it as uncharacterized. The transcript is spliced from 3 exons. The record is from RefSeq and is a predicted model, not a curated record. Lineage: Eukaryota; Viridiplantae; Streptophyta; Magnoliopsida; Asparagales; Asparagaceae.
AAAAGUUCCAGCGAUUAAUGCUCUCCUAUAUCUCUGUCCGUGACUCUGUUGGAACCCUCACCCACCCCAGAUCCUCUCUUCUCUCCUUCAGCUCUUUUCACUCCGACGACUCCCCUCCUCCCUCUCUUAACGCCGACAAUGACGCCGACGCCGACAUCCCGUCAAAUACCCUCCCUCCUCCCUCUCUUGACGCCGCCGCCGACCCUCCUCCCUCUCUCGACGCCGACGCCGACGUCGACGCCUCCUCUCGAAGACCCUCAUCCUCCCUCUCUCGACGCCGACGCCGACGCCCCGUCGAAGACGCUUCCUCCUCUCUCUCUCGACGCCGACGCAGGAUAUCGGUAUCAUCAGAGAGAGACUAGAAGGGCUUCAAGAUGGAUUUGAGGCCAAAGCAAUUGUAGUAGUGACAGAGAAGGAUUAUGAUCAAGACCCAUAUGCCUCCUACAAAGUGUUUGCAACGUACGAAGAGGCUUUGAUUGAAUGGGAGAAGCACACCAUCGAUCGUGAUUCAGCAUCCAGCUCAAGGCUUGUUCAGGCACCACUUCAAUUUCAACAACAAAUAUUUCCGGAGCGGCAUAAUCUAGAUGAGGACGAGGAAAAAUUUAGGGAAACUGUUAUUUCCUCCAUCUAUGUUUUUGCAGUAGGUUCAAUGUUUAUAAUAUUUGUGUUUGUAGUUUGUAUCGUUGCAGUAUUUGUUGGCUUCUCUAUUGCAAAAAAAAUAUGUGAUGUGAUUUGUAAGAUAUUUGAUGGAUCUUGGAUGUUUCUCAACUAGGUUUGUAAGUAAUUACAAUAUUAUGUGAUGUAAUUUAUUAUGGUA